RNAcentral lists this ribosomal RNA (205 nucleotides) under uncultured bacterium. RNAcentral's name for it is "partial 16S ribosomal RNA". It matches the Rfam family "Bacterial small subunit ribosomal RNA", at positions 524 to 730 of the family's 1533-position model. The record is from RNAcentral.
UACGGAGGGUGCAAGCGUUAUCCGGAUUUACUGGGUUUAAAGGGUGUGUAGGCGGGCUUUAAGUCAGUGGUGAAAUCUCCGGGCUCAACCUGGAAACUGCCAUUGAAACUGUUAGACUUGAGGACGAGAGAGGUGAGUGGAAUUCCCAGUGUAGAGGUGAAAUUCGUAGAUAUUGGGAAGAACACCGGUGGCGAAGGCGGUCAUC